Molecule: ribosomal RNA, 208 nt
Filed under: uncultured bacterium
Lineage: Bacteria
Description: partial 16S ribosomal RNA
Rfam family: Bacterial small subunit ribosomal RNA
Source: RNAcentral
CGGACUGUAGGCUGCAACUCGCCUACACGAAGUCGGAAUCGCUAGUAAUCGCGGAUCAGCAUGCCGCGGUGAAUACGUUCCCGGGCCCUGUACACACCGCCCGUCACACCAUGGGAGUUUGUAACGCCCAAAGUCGGUGGCCUAACCUUUAUGGAGGGAGCCGCCUAAGGCGGGACAGAUGACUGGGGUGAAGUCGUAACAAGGUAAC